UGCCCAGCAACUCCUAUCCCUACCUCCUCGUGGCACUGGCCGGGUACUAAUAACUUCAAGGAAGAUCGGGUAACCAACCCCAGGGGGAACUUUGGUCGUAUGCUGACAGGGAAGG
RNAcentral lists this ribozyme (115 nucleotides) under Aedes aegypti (yellow fever mosquito). Its description in RNAcentral is "drz-agam-1 ribozyme". It matches the Rfam family "drz-agam-1 ribozyme". Lineage: Eukaryota; Metazoa; Arthropoda; Insecta; Diptera; Culicidae. The record is from Rfam by way of RNAcentral.